GGGGCUGCCAGAGACCUCAUGAAAUUUGGAGGUUUUAUUUGGGAGAACCCAGUCCUACUUGCUUCUAGUACUGGAGAGAUUUGUAGCUUCAGAUGGGGAUUUCAAAGCUGCGUAUAGAAGGUGAGGCGUGAGAAAAGCAAGGCAUCUCUGCAUCACUUUGCCAACAGAGCCCAAGACAGAAUUAUUUGAGGAGGCGUGGAGGGCGGGAAGAAGAUGGAGGGGACGGUGGAGGUUUAGGAGCUGCAGUGAGUGCCCAGUGCUGGGCCACACCUUGCUGGGGGUGGAGGGGUAGUGCUAUGCAUUCUUGCUGGUUUUAGGGAAGGAUGAAUGUGUGAUCAGGUGCAAGAUGAGGUGUACAUAGAAGUUACCCUCCUGAUCUGCAGGCAUGACCUGGGAGCUGACUUUCCACCUGUAUCCUCCUGUCUAGCGUGUCUUUGACUGGGGACUUUGCCAGGGCCCUGCCCAUUGCCCUGCGGAGCCUUUGGCUGCCCCAGUGCCUAGUUAAUUAUACAUAAAAAAUGGAGCAGCUCCAAAAGAGGGACUGGGGGACCUGGGGCACAUUACCCUGGAGAAGGUGACUGGAAUCUGCAUUUCCAGCUGAAGACCAAAGAUCCAGCUUGGUGGCACUGAGCAGAGGAGUGUCCCUGUUCUUGGUCAUAUUGGAAAACCUUGUGAGGAAAAAUCUGCUGGACUGAUUUUGAGAGCAAGCACCUUGUGACUGCUCUGUUGGGAACUGACAGGAAAUAAAGCUGCUGCCAUAAAGUUAUACGAUGAAUAUUACUUUGCAAGAUGGAUUCCAGUGCCUUGUCUUGAUUAUAUUUCUCCCUAUAAGAGAAAAGACUGGGGCUUUUUAAAAGGGUAACCUGGCUGCAAGAAGCUGCUUUAUUUCUGCAGCAGCUGGUAAUGUGCCUGUAUAGAAAUACUAAUAGCUUGUGUGAAGCCUGAGUAUUUCAGGAGCUAGGUUUGUUACGAAGAUUAAGACCAGGCCUGAUAGACAGGUACAAUGUCCUUUAUCAAACUACAGCAUAAUAAUAAGAGAGAGUAAAUCAAAGUAUAUGAAAGAAUUGGAUUCUUUCAUUGUGGGAAAUAUUUUACACAUUAAUCAUCAACUUCUGUUUGCUGGAUAGGUGUAAACAUGACAGAGGUGGUUAUUUCCUUCCAAAUUAUGUUACACAGUGAUUUAAAAAAGAUAAUCCAUCCCUGUCUGGAAAGCCACUGAAGUAGGUGCUAGCCAUUUGUGAAGGGAGCUGAAGAUUAUUAUGCAUUUAUUAAUUUGUCUGUGUUUAUAAUUAAGCUCAUUGCAUAGAGUUUGAAUAAAUCAGGGAAUAAAUGCAUUAUUGUAAUGUAGUUAUAUAAUUAGCAUGUGCCUCUAAUAUUGAUAUGUUAUGUGUCUCUGUAUUAGGUCUAAAGCUGCAUGACACAGUGUAUUUAUUAAAAUCUAGCAUUUGGAUAUUCCUAUAAUGGCAGAUCUUUCCUCAACUACUUGUGAGCCUGGGGGUAUGUAACAUCUGUUUGUCAUUGUACUCUGAAGAAAUA
Molecule: long non-coding RNA, 1536 nt
Organism: Cygnus olor (mute swan)
Lineage: Eukaryota; Metazoa; Chordata; Aves; Anseriformes; Anatidae
Exons: 3
Source: RefSeq, a predicted model, not a curated record